CCUACGUGAGGCAGCAGUGAGGAAUAUUGGUCAAUGGACGAGAGUCUGAACCAGCCAAGUAGCGUGAAGGAUGACUGCCCUAUGGGUUGUACACUUCUUUUAUAUGGGAAUAAAACAGGGUAUGCAUACCCUCUUGUAUGUACCAUAUGAAUAAGGAUCGGCUAACUCCGUGCCAGCAGCCGCGGUAAUACGGAGGAUCCGAGCGUUAUCCGGAUUUAUUGGAUUUAAAGGGAGCGUAGGUGGAUUGUUAAGUCAGUUGUGAACGUUUGCGGCUCAACCGUAAAAUUGUGGUUGAAACUGGCAGUCUUGAGUACAGUAGAGGUGGGCGGAAUUCGUGGUGUAGCGGUGAAAUGCUUAGAUAUCACGAAGAACUCCGAGUGCGAAGGCGGCUUACUGGACUGUAACUGACGUUGAGGCUCGAAAGCGUGGGGAGCAAACAGGAUUAGAUACCCCAGUAGUC
Molecule: ribosomal RNA, 460 nt
Filed under: uncultured bacterium
Lineage: Bacteria
Description: partial 16S ribosomal RNA
Rfam family: Bacterial small subunit ribosomal RNA
Source: RNAcentral